This 1573-nucleotide ribosomal RNA is filed under the name metagenome. RNAcentral's name for it is "bacterial LSU rRNA". It matches the Rfam family "Bacterial large subunit ribosomal RNA", at positions 1344 to 2925 of the family's 2925-position model. The record is from RNAcentral.
ACUAAGGUUUCCUGGGGAAGGCUCGUCCUCCCAGGGUUAGUCGGGACCUAAGCUGAGGCCGAUAGGCGUAGGCGAUGGACAACAGGUUGAUAUUCCUGUACCAGUUGCUUUUGUUUGAGCGAUGGAGGGACGCAGGAGGCUAAGGAAUGCACACGAUCGGAAAUGUGUGUCCAAGCAGCAAGUCUGAGAACGAGUGAAAUGCUUUUUCUCUCAAGGACAAGCUGUGAUGGGGAGCGAAAUUUAGUAGCGAAGUUCCUGAUGUCACACUGCCAAGAAAAGCUUCUAGUGAGAAAGUAACUGCCCGUACCGCAAACCGACACAGGUAGUUGAGGAGAGAAUCCUAAGGUGUGCGAGAGAACUCUCGUUAAGGAACUCGGCAAAAUGACCCCGUAACUUCGGGAGAAGGGGUGCUGACCGCAAGGUCAGCCGCAGUGAAUAGGCCCAAGCGACUGUUUAUCAAAAACACAGGUCUCUGCAAAAUCGAAAGAUGACGUAUAGGGGCUGACGCCUGCCCGGUGCUGGAAGGUUAAGAGGAGAGGUUAGCGCAAGCGAAGCUUUGAAUUGAAGCCCCAGUAAACGCCGGCCGUAACUAUAACGGUCCUAAGGUAGCGAAAUUCCUUGUCGGGUAAGUUCCGACCCGCACGAAAGGCGUAACGAUUUGGGCACUGUCUCAACGAGAGACUCGGUGAAAUUAUAGUACCAGUGAAGAUGCUGGUUUCCCGCGACAGGACGGAAGACCCCAUGGAGCUUUACUGCAGUUUGAUAUUGCGUGUUUGUAUCACAUGUACAGGAUAGGUAGGAGCCGAAGAUACCGGGACGCCAGUCUCGGAGGAGGCAACGGUGGGAUACUACCCUUGUGAUAUGACCACUCUAACCCGCUGCUCUUAGCGAGCAGGGAGACAGUGUCAGACGGGCAGUUUGACUGGGGCGGUCGCCUCCAAAAAUGUAACGGAGGCGCCCAAAGGUUCCCUCAGAAUGGUUGGAAAUCAUUCGUAGAGUGUAAAGGCAGAAGGGAGCUUGACUGCGAGACCUACAAGUCGAGCAGGGACGAAAGUCGGGCUUAGUGAUCCGGUGGUUCCGCAUGGAAGGGCCAUCGCUCAACGGAUAAAAGCUACCCUGGGGAUAACAGGCUUAUCUCCCCCAAGAGUUCACAUCGACGGGGAGGUUUGGCACCUCGAUGUCGGCUCAUCGCAUCCUGGGGCUGUAGUCGGUCCCAAGGGUUGGGCUGUUCGCCCAUUAAAGCGGUACGCGAGCUGGGUUCAGAACGUCGUGAGACAGUUCGGUCCCUAUCCGUCGCGGGCGUUGGAAAUUUGAGAGGAGCUGUCCUUAGUACGAGAGGACCGGGAUGGACACACCGCUGGUGUACCAGUUGUUCUGCCAAGAGCAUCGCUGGGUAGCUAUGUGUGGACGGGAUAAACGCUGAAAGCAUCUAAGCGUGAAGCCCCCCUCAAGAUGAGAUUUCCCAUCACUUUAAGUGAGUAAGACCCCUGAGAGAUGAUCAGGUAGAUAGGUUGGGAGUGGAAGUACAGCGAUGUAUGGAGCGGACCAAUACUAAUCGGUCGAGGACUUAAUC